UGGGGAAUCUUGGACAAUGGGCGAAAGCCUGAUCCAGCCAUGCCGCGUGUGUGAAGAAGGUCUUCGGAUUGUAAAGCACUUUAAGUUGGGAGGAAGGGCAGUUACCUAAUACGUAUCUGUUUGACGUUACCGACAGAAUAAGCACCGGCUAACUCUGUGCCAGCAGCCGCGGUAAUACAGAGGGUGCAAGCGUUAAUCGGAAUUACUGGGCGUAAAGCGCGCGUAGGUGGUUUGUUAAGUUGGAUGUGAAAUCCCCGGGCUCAACCUGGGAACUGCAUUCAAAACUGACAAGCUAGAGUAUGGUAGAGGGUGGUGGAAUUUCCUGUGUAGCGGUGAAAUGCGUAGAUAUAGGAAGGAACACCAGUGGCGAAGGCGACCACCUGGACUGAUACUGACACUGAGGUGCGAAAGCGUGGGGAGCAAACAGGAUUAGAUACCCUUGUAGUCCCUGAGCGGGCUGGCAAGGCGCAU
This 471-nucleotide ribosomal RNA is filed under the name uncultured bacterium. Its description in RNAcentral is "bacterial SSU rRNA". It matches the Rfam family "Bacterial small subunit ribosomal RNA", at positions 355 to 825 of the family's 1533-position model. The record is from RNAcentral.